Molecule: ribosomal RNA, 228 nt
Filed under: Triticum aestivum (bread wheat)
Lineage: Eukaryota; Viridiplantae; Streptophyta; Magnoliopsida; Poales; Poaceae
Description: partial small subunit ribosomal RNA
Source: RNAcentral
AUGGAGCGGGCGAACACGGAGCUGUACCUGGAGAACCUGCGCAUCAUGCAGGCGAACGAGCGGCUCCGGAGGACAGCGCAGCUGCUGGACCAGGAGAACAAGCAGCUCCUCGCCGAUGUCAAGCGCAAGCAGCAGCACAUGGCGGCCUCCUCCAAGGCGGCGGCGGCGAAGGGCGGCGGACCGUCCGGCGCGGCGCCGUCCAAGUCCGGCAAGCAGCAGCCCCAGUGA